Molecule: long non-coding RNA, 1971 nt
Filed under: Salmo salar (Atlantic salmon)
Lineage: Eukaryota; Metazoa; Chordata; Actinopteri; Salmoniformes; Salmonidae
Description: lncRNA (ENSSSAG00000116631.1)
Source: RNAcentral
UGUCCUGGUCCAGUGCUGAACCCCUCCUCUGUUAUGUCUGUCCUGGUCCAGUGCUGAACCCCUCCUCUGUUAUGUCUGUCCUGGUCCAGUGCUGAACCCCUCCUCUGUUAUGUCUGUCCUGGUCCAGUGCUGAACCCCUCCUCUGCUAUGUCUGUCCUGGUCCAGGCCCAAACCUGAGGUGAGUUUGAGUCUAUCCCUGGGCAGGGUCUUACUGCAGAACACAGUACUAGCAGACCAGUUAGGCACCUCCUUCACUACAGUGGCUCCUCUCUGCUGCUGGUAUCUGAGACUGAACUUGAAGACGAUGAUUCCCCAGUGAGGCUGCGUUCACAGCCAGGAGAGUUCCUAAGUGUUGCUAAAUGUUCUGCUGUGUUGCACACGCUCUCUCACCCCUCCAACCUGCUCCCCAACCCAAACCUUGUGUCCACACUUCUCAAGAACUGUCUCUCUGCCUUCAAGCAAAAAAACAAUGGUUUGGUUUUCACUUUGCUAACCAAGGUGGGGUUGAAACAUCCAGCUAACCUGAUGCUAGCUGGUUUCAGCUCAGACCAGGGCCGUAUUCAUUAGGCACCAAACUGAAGAAAACGGGAGAGGGACUAGCUGAGCCAUCUCGAAAAACAAACUUGUUUUCCUUUUCCACUGCAAAACGUUUUGCUUCGGUGUUCCCUGAUGAACGUGACCCAGCUCUAUGGGAUGUGAAAUGCUAAAACACUGAACAGAAGAAUUGGCUAAUGUUUCACUAACCAAAGCUACGUUUAACCUGGUCCCAGAUCUGUUCGUGCUCAUGCCAACUUCAUUGCUAUUAGUCAUGCCAAUUAUUUUUGGCAUGACUAUGAGUGACAAGGAGUUGUCAUGGUGACACAAACAGACUGGCAUUCAGGCUAAGCUAUGUCCUAUUUAUAGAGUUCUCAGCCUUGUAUCUGUCCCAUUAUGGUGUCAGUGACAGCAUGGGCAGCACCACUGAGGCCAUCACCAUUUUAAAGUAGUACAUUUUCUAAUUCUUUUGAUGUUUGAAAAGGUGUAUCGCUCAUAUUAGUGAUUUACCGCCACCUGCAUUGUCUGGGGUCUUGAACCAAAUCUUGUAAUUAAUUAAUUUAUUGUGGCCACUAGAAGGCAGUGAUGUAGCUUAAAGCCAUUUAUAAACUAAGCAAACCAAUUUUGAAGAAGACAAUGCUCUGAUCAUUGACUGAUCACUCCCAACUCAUAGGAAGCACUGUCCAGUUCACUACUUUAAAAUGGUGGAAGCGCUCAGUGGCAAAGCUCAUGCAAAUCGUGUUAUUUCCAAGUAAUGAUCUCUAUACAUCUCUAUGGUCCUGUCCCAGUUCAUGUAGAUCAGUGAACAACAUGAUUGUGGGUCGAACAAAGCAAGAAAUCAGCCUUUGUAUUAACACAUUGAUUUACAGGGAAUCCUUCAAUUAUGCAACUUAGCCGGUAAAAUAUAAAUAGUUUUAGUACCGAUGCGUUAGAACCAGAUGAGCAUUUUGUGAACAGUAAAAGGGAAAAUGCAUUGCAGUCUAUUUGCUUUAAUUGUUUUGUUCUCACGCUGCUUGCAAGGUUUAUAGCGAACUGAUUUAUCUGUCAAACUAUUUUGACUUUUUAAAAUGUGUGAAAUGUCAAACUUUUGAUGGAUUUUGCAAUAGACCAUUUGAUGAGCACAGACUAAGUGAAACACCUCUUUUCACACACACUUCCUUCUCGGUUCUUCUUCUCUAUGAUGAAGAUUCAGUUUGUUUCUCUGUUGGUGAAGGGUGUUGUUGGUUUACUCUGCACAAACAAGGACUUACUGUCUUCUGCCUUCUCCCCUGACACCAAUAACACAAUGUGUAUAAACAUGACCUUAAACAAACCUCCUUCUCUGGCUCUCUCCUGAUGUAUUUUAUAUAGAUACUGGUAUGUGUAUAUACUGUAUAUAUAGUAGUUUGUUGCUUUGUAAAUCAAUGUAGGUGGAAUGUACAACAUGUGAAGAUGUCC